This 493-nucleotide ribosomal RNA is filed under the name uncultured bacterium. Its description in RNAcentral is "partial 16S ribosomal RNA". It matches the Rfam family "Bacterial small subunit ribosomal RNA", at positions 28 to 506 of the family's 1533-position model. The record is from RNAcentral.
GACGAACGCUGGCGGCGCGCUUAACACAUGCAAGUCGAACGGAAAGGCCUGCUUUCCCUUGUGGAUUGCGGGUACUCGAGUGGCGAACGGGUGAGUAACACGUGAGUGAUCUGCCCCCAACUUGGGUAUAAGCCUGGGAAACUGGGUCUAAUUCCCGAUAGGACUGCAGGGUGGUGCCUGUGGUGGAAAACGAUUUUCUAGUGGUUGGGGAUGAGCUCGCGGCCUAUCAGCUUGUUGGUGGGGUAAUGGCCUACCAAGGCGGCGACGGGUAGCCGGCCUGAGAGGGUGGACGGCCACAUUGGGACUGAGAUACGGCCCAGACUCCUACGGGAGGCAGCAGUUGGGAAUAAUGCACAAUGGGCGGAAGCCUGAUGCAGCGACGCCGCGUGGGGGAUGACGGCCUUCGGGUUGUAGACUCCUUUCGACCGCGAGGAAGCCACCUGGUUGGAAGGGUGGUGACGGUAGUGGUAGAAGAAGCACCGGCUAACUACGU